Mercenaria mercenaria is the source of this 8673-nucleotide long non-coding RNA. RefSeq lists it as uncharacterized. NCBI's taxonomy places the organism in Eukaryota, Metazoa, Mollusca, Bivalvia, Venerida, Veneridae. The transcript is spliced from 2 exons. The record is from RefSeq and is a predicted model, not a curated record.
UUAGCUCAUCUGAGCACAAAGUUCUCAUAGGUGAGCUGUUGUGAUCAGCCUUCAUCCAUCAUUGGCACUCGUCCUGUUAUAUGUAAACAGUUUUACCAAUAACACAGUACAGGCUUCAUUUCAUGAGAAAUUUUCAUCAAACUUACACAAAAUGUGAAAAGCCAUUUGAUCUUAGUCAUAUUUGAUAGUCAUCAAGAUUUCUCCAGCAGUAUCAAUAGUUACAUAGUCAAAAUUGCCUUAUUUCAUUUGAGGGGGCCUCCGUGUCCGAGUGGUUAAGGUCGCUGACUUCAAAUCACUUGCCCCUCAUCGAUGUGGGUUCGAGCCUCACUCGGGGCGUUGAAUUCUUCAUGUGAGGAAGCCAUCCAGCUGGCUUACGGAAGGUCGAUGGUUCUACCCAGGUGCCCGCUCGUGAUGAAAUAAUGCACGGAGGGGCACCUGGGGUCUUCCUCCACCAUUAAAGCUGGAAAGUCUCCAUAUGACCUAUCAUGUGUCAGUGCGACGCGUUAAAUCCAACAAAAAAAAAAAUUAUUUCAUUUUGUUAACAGUCCACCCGCUUAGCUCAGUAAGGAGAGCACAGAUCUACAGACUGUGAGGUCAUGUGAUCGAUCCAUGGUCGAGACGUGUGUUCUCUCAGUGAUGAUUUGAUAAAAAACAUUGUGUUUGAAAUCAUUUGUACUCCAUCUCUGAUUCAUGUGGGGAAGUUUGCGAUUACUUGUGGAGAGUAGGUUUGUACUGGUACAGAAUCCAGGAACACUGAUUAGGUUAACUGCCCACCAUUACAUAACUGAAGUACUGUUGAAAACAAGGUCUUUAGAACAAAAACAGCAACAUUGUGCAGACAAUGUCAGUAAAUUUUCAGUGAACAACCCUUCAAAAAAAAAAAUGGUACUGCUCAAAUAGAAUGAUGGACCAGUCCAUUUUAGAAAUUUAGCAGGGUGAAGGUUAAACCAUUUAGAAUUUAUUAUGGCUGCAAUAUCAUAGACAAGAUCAGUAAUUGACAAGAUUUCAUGACUUACACCAUAGUUAUCUCCCUCGAUUAAAAAUUACUUGCUACUUUUUCACAUUUAGAUUACAGAAAUUUACAUCUCAUUGACUUAACUUGUGUAUCUAUUCAGGUGAGCACUACAGGUUGAACAUGGCCUGCUUGUUUAGUUUUGUUUCUAAUUAGGUUAGUGCUGUUAAUUUUGAUUGAUUUGCCUGUGGAGGAAAAUAUUUUUACCAUGAUUUUCUGUCAUUAUUGAUCUAAUUCUUACACAGUUUAUGUUUUUUAGCUCACCUGAGCACGAAGUGCUCAAAGGUGAGCUUUUGUGAUCACCCUGUGUCCGUCGUCCGUCCGUGGUCAGUCGUCGUCCGUCGUCGUCAACAGAUUGACUGUUAACACUAGAGGUCACAAUUUUGGCCCAGUCUUAAUAAAACUUGGUCAGAAUGUUCCCUCAAUAAAAUCUUGGAUAAGUUCGAUAUUGGCUCAUCUGGGAUCUAAAACUAGGUCACCAGGCCAAAUCAAAGGAAAAGCUUGUUAACACUCUAGAGGUCACAAUUUUGGCCCAGUCUUGAUGAAACUUGGUCAGAAUGUUACCCUCAAUAAAAUCUUGGACGAGUUUAAUAUUGGGUCAUCUGGGAUCAAAAACUAGGUCAGCAGGUCAAAUCAAAGGAAAAGCUUGUUAACACUCUAGAGGUCCAGUUUGAAUCUGGGUCAUUAAGGUCAAAAACUAGGUCACCAGGUCGAAUCAAAGGAAAAGCUGGUAAACACUGUAGAGGCCACAUUUUUGAUCGUAUCUUAAUGAAACAUGGUCAGAAUGUUAAUCUUGAUGAUCUAUAGGUCACUUUAAAAUCUGGGUCAGGUGAGAUCUAAAACUAGGUCAAAUCAAAGGAAAAGCUUGUUAACACUCUAGAGGCCACAUUUAUGACUGUAUCUUCAUGAAACUUAGUCAGAAUGUUGAUCUUGAUGAUCUUUAGGUCAGGUUUGAAUCUGGGUCAUGUGGGGUCAAAAACUAGGUCACCAGGUCGAAUCAAAGGAAAAACUUGUUAACACUUUAGAGGCCACAUUUCUGACCAUAUCUUAAUGAAACUUGGUCAGAAUGUUAAUCUUGAUGAUCUUUAGGUCAAUAGGACAGGUGAGCGAUACAGGGCCUUCAUGGCCCUCUUGUUUUAAAUUAUUUUUAUGAAAAUGUUGCAGCUAUUUGUACAGACUCGGACAGAUUUCGAUAAUGGUUUAUUAGCCACCAUAAAAUCAUUGAAUCUCUCGGGUAUGAAUUUACAAUCAUGUUCUAUUGCAAAGUGAUUGUUUCAUGGAUGAUAUAAAUUUUGGAGAUAAAUGAAUGACAGUUCUAUGUGUACGUUGUGGUAUAACUUUGUGAACUUCCAACACUGCGAAAUGCACAAAAAACUUUUUCCCCAUGAAUGUUGACGAUUUCCUAGUACUGUGAAAUCAUAUAUAUAUAUUCGUGGAGGACUUAUUUUCGUGGAUUUCGUGGUUGCGUCAAUCCACGAAAUUUGAUCCCAACGAACAAGUAUAUUUCCCAUUCAUUUUAUGUUCAGAAGUUGGAAUCCACGAUUUCAUAUCCCCACGAAAUUGCCGUUUUUACCAAAACCGCAAAAUUUCAUGCCCACGAAAUUAAAUGAUUUUACAGUAUAUAAGCUUUUAAGAUAUUUUUGUAGUUGUGAAAAGAUUUUAAACAGCACAUUCAGUCAGACUUUUAUGUAAGACCGCCACGUCUUUUAAUAAUCAGGACACGUAUUGAUUAAAUGUAAUUGUACACAUAUACAUAUAUAUAUACAUUUAUAUGACAUCACUGCUUUCUUAACCUGCUUUUCGAAAGGGCUACGUAUUUUUCCCCUUUUAUUUCUCCACACUGGUAUUUUAAAGACAAGUUUGUCUGUAUUGUGCAGUUGUCAGUUUUGUUUAUGAAAUUGGUAUGAUUUAAACAGUUAAAAUCAUUUUAUUCAGUUCAGAAGUUUACUUGCCUUUCAGGCAGAAAGUUCUUAGUGUUGUGUUUUUUGCUGAACAAAUUUUUUUUUUUUCCAUUAUUUACAAUAUAUAGUCAUUUCUCCUAAUAAUCUUUGACACAGACCAUUCACACUGUUCAGCAUUCUGUUCAUGAUUGGUUAUUAUGACAUGGUGACAAGUUUUUUAUGACAUAAUCAAAAUCCUGGUUAUUAUGACAUAGUGACAUGUUUUACGACAUAGCUAAAACUUCUGGUUAUUAUGGCAUGGUGACAAGUUUUUUUUAUGUCAUUGUUAAAAUCUGUGUUAUUAACAUUGGUAAAAUCUGUGUAAUUAUGACAUGUUGACAUUCUUAAAUAACUGAAACUCCUGGUAACUGAUACUUGUCAUAGCUAAAAUUCUUGUUAUUAUGACAUGGUGACAAGUUUUGUUGUGACAUAGCUUAAGUCCAUGGUUAUUAUGACAUGGUGACAAGUUAUUUAUGACAGAGCUAAAAAUCCUGGUUAUUUUGUCAUGGUGACAUGUUUAAUAAUUAUCCUGGUUAUUAUGACAUAGCUAAAAAUCCUGAUUAUUAUGACAUGAUGACAUGUUUAAUAUCCUGGUUAUUAUGACAUGGUGACAAUAUUUUAUGAUGUAGCUAAAAUCCUGGUUAUUAUGACAUGAUGACAUGUUUAAUAUCCUGGUUAUUAUGACAUGGUGACAAUAUUUUAUGAUGUAGCUAAAAUCCUGGUUAUUUUUUUUUUUAUGACAUAGUUAAAAUCCUUCCUUUCUCAAAAAAUCCAGAUAUAUCCAGUGACACAUUGUUCUAACAGUAUUAUUUAUGAAAGGGUAAUUAGAUUUUGAUUGGAUAAUUGCUUAGAAGAUACUUUUGUAAAUACCCAAGCAUAGUUGUGUUUAUUUCUUUGAAUAAAAUGUGUUGUGCAUUUUCAUUGGCAGAAGAAGUUUUUAGGAGUUUUGUUGAGAUUUGGGGACAUGGGAUUGGGGUGGAGGAAUAGCUGCCACUGAUCAUUAAAAAAACUUUUUUCUGCCUCAGGAGUUUCGUUCUGUUUGAAAUAACUAGUAGAAAGUAACUGUAGAAUAAGAUUUAUCUUCUCAAAAAUUAUGAAUAAAGACUAAAAUGUGUUAUAACAAUAAUAUUGUUGUAAGUUUACAGACCUGACAAGUUUGUCAUUUUAAAAGGAUUAGAAACUUUCUAAAUCUGCUGAAAAAAACAACAAACAGCAAGAAUUUGGAAAAAAAAAGUUACUUAGCAUGUUUCUUUCUUGUUUUGAUUACCAGUACUUUUAGAAGUAUCCACAAAAAGGUAUAUGUUACUUUCCUAGAGGCAUAAAUGCAUUGGUUGUGAUUCAAGUACUCGAAGUCUCUGGCUUCUAUACACUUAAAGCACACCCAAGUAGUUAAUACAAUGUACCUAGUUUAAAACUAUAAAAUGUGAUUUAUUAUUUAAGUGGUUCCAUAAAGCUUAAAACAAAUAUUUAGUUCCAUGAGGGAUGUGAAUUAUUUAUAAAAAUCUGAAGUGAAUUUUACUCUUUAUGCCUCCCUAAAAAAUUUGGGUUGGUUGGGUGAAAGGGAUGGGCAACAUAUUGCAUUUGGUCUCGUCUGUCUGUCACAAAUCAUAUCAGCUCCUGAAACCCCUGGAAGGAAUUUCAGAUUACUUGCCACAAAUGUUAACUAUAAUAUGACAACAUGCAAAACACUAUUUUUAGUAAUAAAGAUAAAGGUAAAGGUCAUAUUGUGAGAUAAAAUAUCAAAAAGGGAUUAUUUUGUGUCUACUCUGUAUUAUUUUAACACCUGAUAAUUUUUCAAAUCACUUACUACAGAUUUUAUACAUAAUGGAACAUGCAGCCUUUUUAUCAUGUCAGUUCCAGGUCAAGGUCAAAUAUUGAGGUCAAAGUUCAUAUUGGGAUUAAUUUAUGUUUGCUCUGAAUGUUUUUUACUCAUCCGGAAGGAUUUUUCAGACAGCUUACAACAGCUGUAAAGGUUAAGGUCACAUGAUGAGAUUAAAGGUCAAAUCAGGAGUAUACUUGUAUAUAGUCUGCUCUUUAUAUCCUGUGAAAUUCUUAGUUAGAAUUUUGAUUCAUUCGUCUUCCAGCACAUCCCUUUGUGGUAUAGCCAGUUAUAAUGUAUCAAUUCGUCCUCCGUCUAAAUGAACCUUUUUUUUUUGCGGGGCAGAUGUGUGCUUUAUUCAAAAGCAACCUUUUGUUCCACCAUGGUUUUUUUUUUUGUCCAUUAAAAAUUCAUCCAUUUUAAUGCUUGAUAUGUAUAUUUCAUUGUGCUCUGUAAAGAGGUAUAUAUUUUUAUUGAAAAUGUGCAUACAAUUUACUACCUAUGAAAUAUUUUACAGUAUAUCCUAAAUGGACCCAUGACUGCAUUUAUGGUUAAUUGUGUUAUAAUACAUGUAUUUCCUUUUUUUUUUACAUUCUUUGUUUUUGAUUGUUGAUGAAUUCAUUUUUAAGAAGGUAUGGGUGCUCACUUUUUAUGAAUAGUCACUUUAAUGAAAUAGUUUUAUUAAUGUUAUUUCUAUAUUAGUUAUGUUGAAAUAUUGUGGAUGUGCUUUUUUUAAACUGCUUUUUUUGUUCUUUACUAUUUGUAGCAGUGUAUUCUCCCCCAGCAGACAACAUUUACAGCCUAAUGCCCCCAUGCAGUAAAAUUAGCUGAAAAUUCUAAAAAUUAGAAUGGAAGAGUCCAUUAUGAGAUGUCAGGGUAGUGGGCAAUGUUCAGGCUUAAUUUUGUCCCUUAUUAAAAAUGCUGGUAGAAAAAUAAUGUUUUUUUUUCUUGAGCAAAAUCAAAAUUAAUUUUGCAGCAAAUAAGGGAAAAAAUAUUUCUUGCACACCAAUGUGUAAUAUUCAAAAGGAACAAAUAUUUCUUUCACUCUAAUGCACAGAUGAAAUAUUCCAUAAAGUAAGUGGGGACACAUAAAAGGGUAAAUCAUAGGGGUGAAAUAUAAAAUGAGCCGUGCCAUGACAAAACCAACAUAGUGGGUUUGCGACCAGCAUGGAUCCAGACCAGCCUGCGCAUCCGCGCAGUCUGGUCAGGAUCCAUGCUGUUCGCUUUCAAAGCCUAAUGGAAUUAGAGAAACUAAUAGCGAACAGCAUGGAUCCUGACCAGACUGCGCGGAUGCGCAGGCUGGUCUGGAUCCAUGCUGGUCGCAAACCCACUAUGUUGGUUUUCUCAUGGCACGGCUCAAAUGUUCUUUGCUGGGGUUUGUGUGUUUUAUGUUAACUGGUGAAUGAUGAAAAUGUCAAAAUAAGUUACCAAAGAUUUUUUGCUGUUUUUAACCAUAUACCAUUGUUUAUUAUGAAGCAUUGUUUUCUUAUAGUUAAAGACGAGUAAUAAAUAUUAGAUAGAUUUUUAAUAAGUGAGAUUUAUGACCAUAGAAGAUAAAUUAGUUACAGUUUGAUGUGUGAAAAAAAAAGUGCCAUAGUUGUAUCAGCUUUGGCAAUGACUUCUUAUGCCAUUAUCUUGAUUAUAAGAAUAUGAGAAUAAUUUUAACCUACCUACCCUACAGUCAAAAAUGGAUGGUCCUAUGAGCUUAAUGAAAACCAUACUGAAACGUUUGAAGAACAGUCAGUAAAUUCUAGCAUUUGAUUGGUCGUCUCAGAACACAGUCUUGAAAUUGACCAAUGGCAGUGCUACAUUCUUUGACUGGUCUUCAAACUUAAGUUUUAUAACCUUGAAACUGGAGCUUUUCUCUUUCAAAGAAAUCUGAGAUUCAAAACCAUUCUAGAUGAUGACAUUUUUGUGUAUGAAUAUUUUUAGAGCUAUUUGAUGAUCUGGUUGUGAAAUGGAAAAAAAAAAAUCUGUCUCGAAUUUUUACCUUUUACCAAGAAAGAAAAAUGCUGAGUACAGUUCAUGUAUGGUUGAAAUACUGCCAAGAUAUAUCAUUGAGUGAGUUACUUUCUGUCUGCCUGUAUAUACAGUCAGGAACUACUUUUUGUCAUUAUUCCCAGCAUACGUAAACAUGAAAAUCUUGAUCAUUUCUUAAUCUGUUAAAGGAUCUGUAAUACACCUUUUCAGUAAUGAGGAAAUAAUUCUAGUCAUAAUAUUUGAAUGGUGUUCAUAAAUUCAAGUGUUGAAAAUUGGAUCAUGCAGCACCUAAACUCUUUUUCAUAUCACUCAUAAAUGAAUCAGCUUCAUUUUCUGCACUAAACAACCUUUUACCUAGAAAACCAGUCAGACUGUCUUUGGCAAAAGUAAGUGGUCUGCUAGAAGACUUAUAAAAACUUGGUGAACCAGUCUGCACUUGUCUUCCAUCUUCUUGUCUGUCUGCUAAAAAUUUUCUGAUGGUCUCCAUAGCAACUACUUUAUUUAGGUAUGGUCAUUUCUCAGUUCCAGAAACUUAGGUUAAAAUCUUGGUCACAAGGUCGGAGGUCACAAGGUCAUAUAGGAUUGUUUUGUAGUUUAUUAACAUAUUUGUAAUAAGUCAGAAAACCAUUGACAAAAACAGCAGUUAUUAAGUUAUCUGUUUUGUCUGAUGAAGAAAUUUAAAACCUUACUGGAAAAACCGGCAUUGGUGUUAUACUAUUUAUAUAUAUUUUUGUUUUUUUUAUAACAUCUGCAGAAUUCUGAUGGAUUAGUUGGUACCCGAGCACAUAAGGGUACCGGCAUCAACCUAUGCCUAGGAAUACUGAAGAUGCUGUAACAAAAUCAAAAGCGUGUAUUUACACUAUUCAUCAUAAAAAUGUGUAUAACCCUAAACAAAAAUAAUAUAAUCCCCAUCAUUAAAUGAUUAUGAAAUGUGCACGAGCAUUAGCAUUGCCUGAUGAUGUAGUAGAAGUCUUUUCUUUCAAACUGUAUUGUAGUAUGCAUUACAGGGCAGAAAUGUGCUAAUGUUUUGGCCAUGGAAUAAGCAUUAUGUAAAAAGGUGUGUUAAUAUUGAAUCUCACUUAACAUGUUUACUCACCUGUUAAAACACCCCCCUUGAAAAACGAGAAAAACAGCAGUUUUAUGCUAGGAAGAUGAAACAAAGGACAGAAAAUUGGUAGAAUUCAUGUUUAAUUCAUCAUUGUUUCUAGCCAUUUGAUCAAUUACAUGUAUAAAACAAUAUCAUACACUUCAAAAUAUAUAGGCCACAUAAUUGAAUUCUUGCUUAAAUUGAUGAUUAUUUACGAUAAAUGGUACAUUUUAGCCAUUUCUUGGCAUUUUUCCCCUAACCCAGUAUAAAUUAUUUAUGGUAAAUGGUAUAGAAGGUUUCGCCAUUUCUUGGCAUUUUUCCCCUUCCAGAAUAAAUUACUUACAGUAAAUGGUAUAGAACUUUUAGCCAUUUCUUGGCAUUUUUUCCUUUUCCAAUAUGGAAAUUUCUCUUUUGGCAAUUUUUAAAUACCUUUUACAUUCUUUAUAACAUUUUCAUAAUUAUGCUGUAUUUGCAACCCAGCUAAUUGCCAAUUAUUUGCAAAAUUAUUGUUUACCAUUUCCAAUCUGUAAAUAAUAUGCAAAAAGUAAGGACAUUAUGAAGUAACUAAUGCUUGGCCUUACCUGUUUUUGACUGUACUAUGACACUUCCUGCAUAUUCAAAACCAUUCUCCACAUCUGGUCUGAAUAAUCAAAAAUGGAUCACAGAUAAAAAAUGGCCAGUAUAUAGUUAGUAAAUCUCAUUGUAUUUGUACAUUCUGUCAUUUUAGUAGGGCCGGAUCCCUAAAAUCCAUUAUUUAGUGUUGUCUUCUUAUGGUCUUGUCAUCAGUUGUGAACAAUUUGAUAUAGUAUAGUAAAUUCUACAGAUGUUGUAUAAA